CUUUAAAGAGCACCAAUUAUGCUAAUAAAUUGGCACGUUAGCACGUAAAUGCAGUAUCCCAUAGUACAUACAUGUUAUUAAAACUUGAACUAAUGCAUUGUGAGUCUUAUAAAUUGCUUACAUACCUCACCGAUUUCCCACUGUCUGAAAAACGCUCGGUUUAGUUCCUGUCUCCGCCUCCCAAAAUGUCUAGUGUAAUCGGAUUGGUCAGAUGACUACUCAACUGUUAUUGGUCAGCUGGGUUCGUCGUGUGUUUGAAAGGUUACGCCCCUGACUACGUGUGGGUUGACACACCGGUUCUGACUGAGAGAGUCACAGCCUCAGAGGCAACGUAAACAAGCGUUAUAUUUCUCUAUAAACGAUGGUGUCUGUACUGCCUUACCACUUCGAGCUCGAUCCAGAGAGUUCAGAAGGCCGUUACGAUAUAAACGAUCUCCGUCAAUGAAUGCGAUUGGAUUUAACUUUUUUAGGUGUCCUUAGCUCUGCCAGAAUGCUAAACGAAGACGAAAAUGUGUUGCAAAGACAUCCAAAAGGUUUUAAGGAGAAUGCAACAGGUUCCAGGGCCUCUUACCUGCGUGAUUCAUCAUCCAGGUUUUGCACAAAUUGUCUAAAUCCCUACACACAGAACAUUUAUUGUACCGACUAUAAGCCUUUGAGGCGCAGGACUAGAAUAUGCUUGGAGCUUCCUGAUCGGAAUGUUGGCUUCCGACGACCCCUGCACUGAAGAUGGCAUGCAAUCACGUCCUCCUUUGAAGGUCUCUCAAACUGUGAUGCCAGGUCCAUUGGAAUCGGGGUUUCCUUCAGCUUAUCUU
Molecule: non-coding RNA, 812 nt
Organism: Misgurnus anguillicaudatus (oriental weatherfish)
Lineage: Eukaryota; Metazoa; Chordata; Actinopteri; Cypriniformes; Cobitidae
Source: RefSeq, a predicted model, not a curated record